Pelobates cultripes (western spadefoot toad) is the source of this 406-nucleotide non-coding RNA. NCBI's taxonomy places the organism in Eukaryota, Metazoa, Chordata, Amphibia, Anura, Pelobatidae. The record is from the annotation of a GenBank genome assembly.
UAGCGACUGGAGGUGCCUCAUUAGGGUUAUGUAAGGCUUGUCUUAUGGAUGCUCUAUGAUUGGCAAAUCAUUCCCUCAAUACAAUACAAGUGUAUUCCUUGUCUUGCCAAUAUAUGCCAGACCCCACGGGUAUAAGAUUUUUUUUAUAUAACAAAUGCAGUGGUGCAUGUUAUCCUGUGUAGGAUUUUGUAUUCCUUGCCUGUAUGUGGGUGGUAGCAAUCUACAGUUUGCACUGUUUAGUCCGGAUCUUUCAUCACAGGUAUUACCUUUGUCUAGGGAGAGGGUACUUCACCUUUACAAGUUUCUCGCACUUUAUUUUUGCUAUUUAAAGUUUGAAAUUGGAGCUAUGUGCUUAUCCUGAUGAAAGUCCUGUGAUGGACUGAAACGUAGAUUUGCUGUAACCCGU